GUUGUUACAUGUCUGACCCUGGAUAGAUGUAAUAGGCAUAGCUUGCAAAUUUAACAUGGCUUCUUCUUUUUCACAUAAAAUUCUAUAAAUAAAAAGU
Molecule: long non-coding RNA, 97 nt
Organism: Etheostoma spectabile (orangethroat darter)
Lineage: Eukaryota; Metazoa; Chordata; Actinopteri; Perciformes; Percidae
Exons: 3
Source: RefSeq, a predicted model, not a curated record